This 257-nucleotide ribosomal RNA is filed under the name uncultured Pseudomonas sp. Its description in RNAcentral is "partial 16S ribosomal RNA". It matches the Rfam family "Bacterial small subunit ribosomal RNA", at positions 96 to 354 of the family's 1533-position model. The record is from RNAcentral. Lineage: Bacteria; Pseudomonadati; Pseudomonadota; Gammaproteobacteria; Pseudomonadales; Pseudomonadaceae.
CGGCGGACGGGUGAGUAAUGCCUAGGAAUCUGCCUGGUAGUGGGGGACAACGUUUCGAAAGGAACGCUAAUACCGCAUACGUCCUACGGGGGAAAGCAGGGGACCUUCGGGCCUUGCGCUAUCAGAUGAGCCUAGGUCGGAUUAGCUAGUUGGUGAGGUAAUGGCUCACCAAGGCGACGAUCCGUAACUGGUCUGAGAGGAUGAUCAGUCAUACUGGAACUGAGACACGGUCCAGACUCCUACGGGAGGCAGCAGGA